Non-coding RNA from Vicugna pacos (alpaca), 1512 nucleotides. The record is from RefSeq and is a predicted model, not a curated record. NCBI's taxonomy places the organism in Eukaryota, Metazoa, Chordata, Mammalia, Artiodactyla, Camelidae.
CUUGAUAUAAUCUUCUUGGCUGGUGAAGAAACUCAGAAAACAGAAAACAAACGGAGCACACAUUCCCUCCCCCUCGCCUCGCCCGUCUUGGUCUUUCCUUUUUGCAGGCGGGGCGUAACGUAAUUUGCAGAGAAACACGAGAUUUUUCUUUAUCAAAGAGGGGCAGAGGUUAUAAAAAGGUUGAGAAACACCUUUGGAACCCCACCAGCUGGAGGACUAUUUGAACAUCGCUAGAGACAACAUAUUCUCCCCAUGAGGCAUGCUACAGCAAGGAGCUGAGCUGAAGCCUUUAAUCUCUUCUGUGUUCAAUACAUAGGCACAGAACAAUGUGAUAUGUGCUCUGGGACUUUAGGUAACAUGUUCAUUUUGAAGCACCUUAAAUAUAGGUAGCGAUAUAUUAAUGGAAGCCUUGGUGAAAAUGUUAAUAAAAUUGAGAUUUGGAUCUUUCCUAUGGAGACAGGAGAGUGCCAUAUAUUGGCAGGAGAAGAGUGGAUGGCACAUAUUCAUCACAGGAGAGAUUUAUUCAUCCUCCUUGCACUGUAACAGUGUGACAGCUGUUUUAGGACCCAGCUGGAAGCCUCUAAAAAGCCCAGCUCCAAAAGACAAUAGAAAGUCACCUUUAAAGAUUCUUUGUUUCCAACCCUGUCCUGACAACCUCACCAGUCCCACUGGAAGAAAAUUGCCUCAGUGCCAUCAUCUCUAGGCCCUUGUUCUCCAGGGCUGAGGCUCCCUUGAUGCUCACGAAGUUGCAAGGCUUGAGGCAGGUAGCCCACAUGCUCUGUCGCUUCCCACGCUGGGGAGUGGAGGACCUGGCUCUCAAGUCUUGGGUCUCCCGAUUCCAGCUUCAGAUAAUCACACCAUGCUCCAAAGACUUCAGGAUGUGCCAGUUACACCAGCAAUAUUCCUGCUUCAGGCCAGAUUUUAUUCUACCAUUUUCUGGUGAGUAGUAAUAGUGGAGAAUUUGGAGGAUCUCAGUGAGAUCUGACUGCGGAGCAAAUGGAAGGCUAUGCAAGCUAGAUAACUCUGGAGAGUCUUGAGAAGAAAAACCACCUACCCUCCACUCAGCAUGGGCACUGAGUAAAGAAAUCACAUCUUACUGCCUAGAUUCAUGAUUUUGCUAUUCCACCAUCCUCUUAGCAUGUAAAAUUAUUUGUUUGCUUGUUUUUUUGUUUAGCUCUUCCAGGACUGUCCCACCCAAGCAAAUGGUUUGAUUGUUCACUACAGGAAUUUUCCUAAAGAUGCAUCAACUCUUCAACAGAAAGAAAGCAUCAACAGACAAAGGCUUAGCUUCUUCAGAAUCCCUUGCCUCAAAAUCUUUCCCUUGCACUUUCUACCAAUCGUAGACUUUUUACCCAGUCCUGACCUAGUCCCCAUAUUAACUGAGUAGAUUCAAACCAAACUUCCAACCCUCAAUAAAUUCUGACCCUACCUUCCCCGCUCCCUGCUCCCAGACACUGCUGAACUUUGUGGAGAUUACUUGUUAACUUAAGCAAUAAAUUCAGCUCUAUCUCA